AGAAGAAGUGUAGACCACAGCAGUCUGUGCUCCAGUAUGUGAUAUAUGAUGUACUCGGGAACUUCUUGGAUUCCUAUGGAAACAUCUCCCUUUUUUAUAGUCAGAUUUACUCUGGAGAGACAUUCUACAACACUUCUCAAACUGCAUUGGCUUGCACUCCUCUGGCAUUAACUAUAUGCCAGUAAGAAUAGUCUGGGUUUUAUUGACAGAAGGAUAAAACUCUGGGGUCUUAUCAUUUGAGUCCCCAGACAGUCAACUCUGGCCUUGGCUAACAACUUUCCUCCAGACUUAGGAAUACAUCCUGGGUUUCCCAGGAUAUCGUCAUCAGUUUGUAACUCAUUUCAUUGCCCUGACUCUGUUCUUGACCAACCUGCUGUGUAAGAACCAUGGCUUCUAGUGGUUGUUCAAGACUUGGCAGGUGAACUGAACUCUAAAAUGAUGUUUUACAGUAGGACAAAUCUUACUCUGGCUGGAUCUGAAUGCAGCAGCUUCACCUGGGAGGUAGAUUGCAUGUGGAGGAGGAGAGGCAAGAGUAUGCCAGCUCAGUCUGAAACUGGCUUAAGUCCCAAAUCACCAAUAACUUUUCCGAAAGUGAACCCCAUUUCAAUGACCAACCUCAAGCUGACCUUCAGGACUUGGCUUCACAGUCAAAGGGCCAGACCCCCACCAGGAAUGGGAAUGUCUUCAGGUGCACUUGGCCUGCAAACUCAGUCCGGUGGAGAUGGUGGUGGUGAGAUGCAGGGAGAUGGAGAGAAAAAUGGGAGCACCACCUUUCUUUACAAAGCCAAAAGCUACAUCCCCAUUGACCUAGAUGUCAUAAGAGUUUUUUUUCCCCAAAGGGCACCAUGAUGGAGAAUCGGCUUUCCCAAGGACACACAUACCUUUGUCACACCAAGCACCACCUUGUCCUCAGACUGUUCUUGUACUGGCUUUGUUUACAAGCCAGAUUUUUUUUAAAAUGAGAAAAAUCAAAUGUUCACUUAAGAAGUGAAAUUUGAAUAAAAUUACAGUUUCAGGCAAAGCCUAUAUUAUUUUUAAAAUCAGCGAAUAAAGCAAGGGAUAUUAAAUCAUGAUCUUCA
Molecule: long non-coding RNA, 1079 nt
Filed under: Homo sapiens (human)
Lineage: Eukaryota; Metazoa; Chordata; Mammalia; Primates; Hominidae
Description: HSALNT0316679
Source: RNAcentral